Molecule: ribosomal RNA, 253 nt
Filed under: uncultured bacterium
Lineage: Bacteria
Description: partial 16S ribosomal RNA
Rfam family: Bacterial small subunit ribosomal RNA
Source: RNAcentral
UACGGGGGGGGCAAGCGUUGUUCGGAAUUACUGGGCGUAAAGGGUGCGUAGGCGGCCGUGCAAGUCUGGCGUGAAAGCCCCGGGCUCAGCCCGGGAAGUGCGCUCGAAACUGCGCGGCUCGAGUGCCGGAGGGGAGAGUGGAAUUCCUGGUGUAGCGGUGAAAUGCGUAGAUAUCGGAAGGAACACCAGUGGCGAAAGCGGCUUCCUGGUCCAGCACCGACGUUCAGGCACGAAAGCGUGGGGAGCAAACAGG